Molecule: non-coding RNA, 48 nt
Organism: Schistosoma rodhaini
Lineage: Eukaryota; Metazoa; Platyhelminthes; Trematoda; Strigeidida; Schistosomatidae
Source: Rfam
AUCCAGCUGACGAGUCCUAAAUAGGUCUAGACGCGCGUCAAACUGGAC